GUUCACCAAGAUGAAAGAUUUCAGAGGAAGCAGACAAACUAUGAGGCAAGUUUUUACAUUUAUACACAUUAUAUUAAAGGAUGGUGAUGAUCACUUAUCAAAGGAGCAGUUCAGAGUGGUUAGUGAUAUUGACAUGAGCUAAAUACCGGAAAGAAAACAUGCUCUCCAGAUGUUAUAUAUCUACAGCUUUCAGUAAUAGAUUUCUCCUUCUCUGACCCACCGAGGCCCCUCAAAUCUCCAGGAUCCACUAAUCUCUCAGUUUUUCACAAUGGCUUCCGUUCCCUUAAUUUUCGGGAAAAUAAAAAAUUAAGAAGAAAUGUGUCGUCUUCCUCACAACAUCGUUCGGAGAAAUACAGUAACUGAGAGACCUACUAAGAGUCAGAACUGGAUGAAAAUAGACAUCGUGGCUCCAAGUGUGGUGGUACAUCUCCGUAAUCUCAUCAUUCAGGAGGCUGAGGCAAGAGUAUUGUCAUGACUUUGAGGAUACGCUUUGAGUUGAAGGACAGCGCGAACAAUAUAGUGUGGCACCAUCCUUAAACAAAA
Molecule: long non-coding RNA, 543 nt
Filed under: Fukomys damarensis (Damara mole-rat)
Lineage: Eukaryota; Metazoa; Chordata; Mammalia; Rodentia; Bathyergidae
Description: lncRNA (ENSFDAG00000028740.1)
Source: RNAcentral